RNAcentral lists this transfer RNA (97 nucleotides) under Sphaerisporangium siamense. RNAcentral's name for it is "tRNA-Arg". The record is from RNAcentral. Lineage: Bacteria; Bacillati; Actinomycetota; Actinomycetes; Streptosporangiales; Streptosporangiaceae.
CGCGGCGCGGGUCCCCGGCGUCCGAGGAGCGGCCGCCCGCGCGGCGGCGGCGCGCCGAGGGCGAGGAGCGGCCCGUCCGGCGCCGGCGCGCCGAGGC